AUUCUACAAAUUUAAGGGCACAAUUUCCCUAAAGAUCUGCUGCCUCAUAUUAGAUGGCCACCCACAUGUUUGGGAAGGUGAGUAAUCUGUUUAUAGUUCCAGUUGACUAGGAAGGCACUUAAUAGUCUCCCACAGGCACUUAAAGUAGAAUGACUAGCAAGAAACUCCAGGAAGCCCUACACAAAAGAUUACAGUUUCAUCAUAAAGACUAUAUAUUGGAAUAGCGGCCAGACGAAAACCUGAAUGAAAGAGAAGAAUACAAAGAAAAAAACCCACAAUACCAGAUUUGGGAUACUUUCCUAUGCUUUGUUGGUCAGAGAGGUCUCAGAAGCAUCCAAAGCAAUAUGGAUUAUCAUCACUGCUUUUGAUUGGUUGCCCACAAGAACAUGAAGGUAGCUACAUGGUGGCAUCUCCCUGGAGGUUCCUUUCUCUGUGUUCCUAUUCCCUGCAUUUAUUCACCAACCAAUAAGAGAAAUGUUCACAGCACUCGGAAGAACAUCCUCCAUCAGAAGAGUGCAUCCAUUUGAAGUUCAACUUUAAAAAUAAAACAACUUAUAUUUGACUAGACCCUUGCUAUUUGGGCCCAUGGUGGAUUUCUUACAAACCUAUGAGGAUAAUGUGAGACAAUAGAUUUUGUAGGUUUGUAAAUGGCAUAGAAGUGAAGAGAGGAGUGCACUGGGCUGAUCUUCAAAGACAUCUGGUGAAGAUGAACGGAGAGUGUAAGACAAACUUAAAAAAAGAAACUUUUGCUCUACUCUGAAUGGAAAGUACACAGCUCUGCCACCAGUCCACCAUCACUGCACUAAUAUUUUUAAACUGGUGAUGCUAAUAGUUUCCUUUUUUGGCUUUAGAUGAGACUUACAGGUGAUUUUUCUCCUUUGUUUUAGUAAUUUUCCACACUAGAACCUCAUAACUGCUCCAGCAUGGAACAUACUAAAGUAAGAGCAACUCCCUGGGUUCUUGGUCUCUGUAGAGGUGCUGUCUACCUUGGCUCUUUUUAAUAUGUUGCUCACCCUAAUUUAUUUAUUAAUUUAUUCUUUCAAAGUUAUUUUGCCCAUGUUUAAAAUGUAAGUGGGAUGAAUUGCAGUGCUUUUCACCUCCUACCAGUUGAUAAUCCAAUUACUUGCUGCCAAGUGAGAGUCCUUGGCUGCCUGUUGCAGUUAUAAUCUUUGCAAAUGCUAUUUUGAGGCCCAGUUUGACACAGAAGCUGACAAGCUGGAACUCCAAAGGCAAUAUUAAUGUUAAUAUGCUGUCACCUAGAAGAUUCAAUUUGCAUAUAUCUAAGCAAACACAGGCUCUGUCCUGAGAGCUUAUUUUAUUAACAUCUGAAGACUAAGUUUGCUCGCUAAGCCCACUGAGCAGCUUUUCAUUCUGUUCCAAAGUAUUUUUAUUGGGCACUUAAUGUAGCUGUCUUUUGAGAGAUAGAUGAAAACAUAUUUGCAGUGUUCUAAAGGAACUUGUAAGUACUAUAUGUCCAGGUUCUGAAAUGAAUCUGAAUUACUAAAUCUAAUUUUAUUCUUUUGUACUAAUUGGGGAGUUAUGUGAAUUCAUUUAGUUUCUUUAAACCUGAGCUGUCUCUGUAAGCAGAAAUAUUAAUGGCAAUUUGGAGAGUGAUCAAGAGGACUGAAAGACUUAGUCAAUAUCAGUGCUUGCACAUAGUAAUUUCUCAGCAAAUAUUAACUCUGUGUGCUUUCAUUUACACAAGACCUGUAUGUGUCCACACUGAACUGUCCUCAAUCCAAUUAUUUUGGUAUACUCUAUAUAUGGCAGAUAUGUAUGUAUAGGCAAGUUCAUGCAUUUGUUUAUGUGUAAUGCUUGCCUAGAUGACAUAGAAAAGAUAAUACAAUAGCAUUUAUUUGCAAGAAAAUUGUACAAAUUCAAAGGGAGAUUGAUAGUGGGAUAUAAGUACAUAGAAAGAAGUUCCUUUCCAGUUAGAAGUCUUACUAAGAAUUAAUAAUAAAAUCUAGGAGUAAUUCCUGAUAGAGACACUAGGAACAUGUUAUAUGUAGAAUAAUGAUAAGAAAUGAAUUUGGAUCUCUUAUGAUUAAAAAAUAUAUGGCCAUAAUCAUGUAUAAUGUUAAUAGAAGUAUGGGAUCAAAACAUUGUCAUGGAAUACUUGCCUCGUAUGUAAAAAAUGCUCAAAUUCUAUCUCCAGCUCUACAAAAACACACAGACACAACUUGAAUGAUAACACCAAUUUCAAAGAUGACCAUGCCCAAGGUGGCGUAUAUGCAUCAUAGGAUAUUAUUUUGUCACAAAAAGAACAAAACCUUGUCAUUUGUGUCAAAGUAGAUGAACAAAGACAUCACCUUAAGUGAAAUAAGUCAGGAAUAGAAAGAUAAAUUCCACACAUUUCUAGUUAUAAUGUCAGUUAAAGAAAAACAAAGAUCUUUAAGACAUAUAAAGUUGAAUAGUACUUAGCAAUUACUAAAAAGUGUAGAAAAGAUGGGGGUAAAUAGGGGUAGUUAAUGAAUGUAAAAGUACAGUAAGAUAGGACUACUAUUGUUUUGUAGCAUAGUAGGGUAGAAAUUUCUGAAGCCAGAAAUAAUUUAUUGGAUAUUUCAAAAUAUCCAGAAGAAAGAACUUUUACUGUAUUCAAUCCAAAGUAAUAAAAAUUUCUUGAAGAGACAGAUAAACUAUUUAUAUUGAUUUGAUUGUAGCCUAGUACAUACAUGUGCUGAAAUACCAUGCUACAUUUUAUGAACAUGAAUAUUUACUGUGUCAAUAAAUGGUUUGUAAAAUGAAAUGUUUCUCAAUAUUAUGAACUGAAAUUUUAAAUUAUCUUGAAGUAAUGGAAUAUUUUUUACACCAAGCAUUAAAGUACAUGAA
Molecule: non-coding RNA, 2829 nt
Organism: Cricetulus griseus (Chinese hamster)
Lineage: Eukaryota; Metazoa; Chordata; Mammalia; Rodentia; Cricetidae
Source: RefSeq, a predicted model, not a curated record